AGAGUUUGAUCCUGGCUCAGAUUGAACGCUGGCGGAAUGCUUUACACAUGCAAGUCGAACGAUGAACCUUAGCUUGCUAAGGGGAUUAGUGGCGAACGGGUGAGUAAUAUAUCGGAACGUACCUUGUAAUGGGGGAUAACUAGUCGAAAGAUUAGCUAAUACCGCAUACGCCCUGAGGGGGAAAGUAGGGGAUCUUCGGACCUUACGUUAUAAGAGCGGCCGGUAUCUGAUUAGCUAGUUGGUGGGGUAAUGGCCUACCAAGGCGACGAUCAGUAGCUGGUCUGAGAGGACGACCAGCCACACUGGAACUGAGACACGGUCCAGACUCCUACGGGAGGCAGCAGUGGGGAAUUUUGGACAAUGGGCGCAAGCCUGAUCCAGCCAUUCCGCGUGAGUGAAGAAGGCCUUCGGGUUGUAAAGCUCUUUCGCAAGGGAAGAAAACUUAGUGCCAGCAGCCGCGGUAAUACGUAGGGUGCGAGCGUUAAUCGGAAUUACUGGGCGUAAAGCGUGCGCAGGCGGUUUUGUAAGUCAGAUGUGAAAUCCCCGAGCUCAACUUGGGAACUGCGUUUGAAACUACAAGACUAGAAUAUGUCAGAGGGGGGUAGAAUUCCACGUGUAGCAGUGAAAUGCGUAGAGAUGUGGAGGAAUACCAAUGGCGAAGGCAGCCCCCUGGGAUAAUAUUGACGCUCAUGCACGAAAGCGUGGGGGGCAAACAGGAUUAGAUACCCUGGUAGUCCACGCCCUAAACGAUGUCU
Molecule: ribosomal RNA, 755 nt
Filed under: uncultured bacterium
Lineage: Bacteria
Description: bacterial SSU rRNA
Rfam family: Bacterial small subunit ribosomal RNA
Source: RNAcentral